CUACGUGCCAGCAGCCGCGGUAAUACGGAAGGUCCGAGCGUUAUCCGGAUUUAUUGGGUUUAAAGGGAGCGUAGGCUGGAGAUUAAGUGUGUUGUGAAAUGUAGACGCUCAACGUCUGACUUGCAGCGCAUACUGGUUUCCUUGAGUACGCACAACGUUGGCGGAAUUCGUCGUGUAGCGGUGAAAUGCUUAGAUAUGACGAAGAACUCCGAUUGCGAAGGCAGCUGACGGGAGCGCAACUGACGCUGAAGCUCGAAGGUGCGGGUAUCGAACAGGAUUAGAUACCCUGGUAGUCCGCACAGUAAACGAUGGAUGCCCGCUGUUGGUACCUGGUAUCAGCGGCUAAGCGAAAGCAUUAAGCAUCCCACCUGGGGAGUACGCCGGCAACGGUGAAACUCAAAGGAAUUGACGGGGGCCCGCACAAGCGGAGGAACAUGUGGUUUAAUUCGAAGCAACGCGAAGAACCUUACCAGGUCUUGACAUCCCUCUGACCGCUCUAGAGAUAGAGCUUUC
RNAcentral lists this ribosomal RNA (513 nucleotides) under uncultured bacterium. Its description in RNAcentral is "bacterial SSU rRNA". It matches the Rfam family "Bacterial small subunit ribosomal RNA", at positions 501 to 1016 of the family's 1533-position model. The record is from RNAcentral.